This is a long non-coding RNA of Lytechinus pictus (painted urchin), 1993 nucleotides long. RefSeq lists it as uncharacterized. The transcript has 3 exons. The record is from RefSeq and is a predicted model, not a curated record. NCBI's taxonomy places the organism in Eukaryota, Metazoa, Echinodermata, Echinoidea, Temnopleuroida, Toxopneustidae.
GCAGAAGAGAGUGAUGAAUUUCGCCAACAGGACGAGUACGACAAAUAAUAACUACCGUACUUACAACGACAACGAGAGAAGGAUUUAAAUAGCGGGCAUGUAUUCUCAAACAAAAAUGGGCAUCCUUCUGAUAAUCAUUACUGCGUACGAUCGAGAGUAAAAGGAUGGGAACUUUAGGAAGCGAUUUCAAACAUAGGUUUGGUGAUAAUCAGACCAAGUAUCGGAACCAUAUGUCAAUGCCGGUAGAACACAGUGGUUAAAAACUUUUCUUUUAAGUUUUAAUAAGCAAAGAACCAAUCCGGAGUGGUCCAAGACUUUCAAUAAGAUCGAUUGCCGUCUGUUGCAAGUACACCCUGAGCCACAAUAGGAAGUGGAAUAGAUCUAUACCCUCGAGAAGGCUACACAUCACCAUCCAUGCGGCCUGGUCAGCGAAGAAAUUCAUGGAGCAGGUUUUCAUCAGGAGAUAAUGGCUGGUAUAGUGGGUUAGUUGUAUAGGAGAAAGUUGCUUGGAACUUGAAAGGCAUCCGCCCAUCUGCAUGCAGCUAUCUGAUGGUGAGAUGAGGUUUGAUGAUGUCACUGUUGAAUGGCCAUGCAAGUCGACUGACUUCCUCCAUGCACGAAAGGACCAAGUUUUACUAUGAGAAGGAGUAGGACGUGGAUUGUAGACUUCUGUCGACGAGUAUCCUGAAAAUACCUUGGUGGAAAGUUCUCCCGAUGUAGUCCAUCAUGGUGAGGAGGUAAUCCAGAUCAAGUUGAUCUUCCGCUUGCCUGAGGAACCCUGGGGAGGGAGCGGGGAAGGGGGGGGGGGGGUACUGCCAUUUAAGGUGGACAACGACAUCAUGCUCUUCCAGAAAAGCGUGAAAAGGUAUUCGCUUUUCCUGGCCGAGAGAUGUGGGAGCGUAAAGUAAAAAGGGUAUAAAAAAUUCCAAACUCAAGAAGUAAUCUCCAACUCUGGAUACGUGAAAAUGGUAUUAUAAAGGCCAGGGAAAACAUGAAAAAUACUUGGGUCCCUUUGAGAAGGGAUCUGAAAUAAAGAAUGUUUACUUUAGGGUCAAUUUUGAAAGUCCAUGGACGAGCAUCCAUCCAUUCGUCUAUCCAUCCAUCCAUUCAACCAUUUAUUCAUUCUGUUGUGUUGUCGUUGGGAUCUAUGCUCUUUUGCUUUCAACCGGACUUAAAUGAGACGAAAUCAAAGCAAGAUCAUGUACAGAUACAUGUAUUUAUCAAAGAUGAUAACUUGAUGAUGAUGAAGACAAAUACAUGAGUAAGUCUGAUGGUGACUAUACUCUGAAGUAUAUAAAAUAGACUCUGCAAAAUGAUGUAGGGUAGUAUACUUUUCUGUAACUCUAAACUCCAAUCUCUGAAACUGAUGUGGGUUCAGAGGUAAACUUUACUCUGAAUUGGGGGAGUUGACCUUUUAGUGAGAACAUGAAAUGUAGUGAAUAAGAAACCCAUAAAAUGAUGUUUGCGUCAGAGGUUUAGCUGGAAGAAGAAUGAGUAAUACUUUCUUAAGAAAGUUGGAGUUGGUCUGCUUCCUGUAGAAGUAUUGAUUAAGUAUUGGUUAUGUAUUGAUAUAUUAUUUAAUAUGUGAGAUAUGUCUUAUCACAUAACGAUUCAUCUAUCCAUCCAUCCAUUCAUCUAUCCAUCCAUUCAUUAAUUCAUGUAUGCUCGCAUAAAUGCAUGCAUUCAUUCAUCCAACCAUUCAUUCAUUAGUCAUUCACUCACUUAGCCAUUCAUUCGUUCAUUCACUCACUUAGCCAUUUAUUCAUUCAUUCAUCCACUUAGCCAUUCAUUCAUUCACUCACUUAGCCAUGCAUUGAUCUGUGUAUGACCACAUGCAUUCAUUUAUUUAUUCAUCCAUCCAUCCAUCCAUCAAUUCAUCCAUCCAAUCACUCAUUUGUUCAUUCAUUCGUUCAUUUAUCAAUCCAUCCAUCCAUUCAUUAAUUCAUUUACGGAUGUCAAAUGAACAAAAAUUAUAAUACAUAUAUUAUAUAUA